UUUUUAAUUGGAAGAGAAACAGAGACAGAAACAGAAGCAGAAAAAGAAACAGUUGGAGGUGUGCAUGAAGAAAAGCCUACUGAGCCCACAAUCUUUGAUACGGAUCAGGCAUCUCAGUCAACGCCUCUAUGUUCCCUUCUUACUUUGGUUCUGAUAGUUCAUCCGCUGCUCAGACUACUAUAGCAGACACACUGCACAUUACAGGACCCUGUUACACAGUCUGAACAGAAGUCCAGGAAGAAGAAGAGCAGACGAACAGAUAACCUGAACGAAAGACAUGUGGACAUCCAGUACAGACAGACACACACAUGCACAUGCACUCACAGAGCUCAAGCAAACACAACGUUGCAUCCAUGACAAACCAUGACAACACACAGCUUGCAAGCUGUAAAUGAAAAGACACAUUGUUCGCUAUUCUUUGUCACAGCAAAACAGACGCACAGAGGUCAGAGGUCUCAUAGGCUGGAUGAGUGGAAUGGAAUAUGAAUGUGAAAUAAGGCUAAACUAAAUGACAGGUUCUUUUGUGGGUAUUUGUUCAGGUUGUGACUCAGAGGUGAUUUGAGGAGCCUGAAUAACAAAGAAACUGAGAAAAACAAGAUAUUUCUCUUUUUUAAUGCACAGAUGUGCAGGCUGUCCACUGUCAUGUAAAACAAUGCCAUUUUUGGCAAUAAUCAAAAUAAUUUUAAUACAUUUGUCUCUUUUAUGAAACUUUGUUUAAGCAUAUUUUUUUUAUCUAUAAUGUGCACAUCCUUUGAUUGCCAUGACAAAAAUACAUGUGUCAAAGAUGUAAUUGAGACACAAGAAAAUCCGUCAUUAGUGUUACAUAAUGUACAAUUUUAGUAUGCCAAUUUUAUCUUAAAGCAAAGCUUUACACAAACUAAUUUGGAUUCACGUUAUGUUUGGGAAACACACUGAAGUUUUACAAUUAGACUCAGCUUUUCUAGUCAUUUUAAGCAUCAUGACCUCUUGCAGAUAUUAUAUGUAGGCACUUUCCUUCACCACUGCACUUCUAAGCCUCACUAUUUCUUCAGUAAUCCUCGAUACA
Long non-coding RNA from Sinocyclocheilus grahami, 1045 nucleotides. RefSeq lists it as uncharacterized. The record is from RefSeq and is a predicted model, not a curated record. NCBI's taxonomy places the organism in Eukaryota, Metazoa, Chordata, Actinopteri, Cypriniformes, Cyprinidae. The transcript has 3 exons.